GGUUAAGCGACUAAGCGUACACGGUGGAUGCCCUGGCAGUCAGAGGCGAUGAAGGACGUGCUAAUCUGCGAUAAGCGCCGGUAAGGUGAUAUGAACCGUUAUAACCGGCGAUUUCCGAAUGGGGAAACCCAGUGUGACUCGUCACACUAUCAUUAACUGAAUCCAUAGGUUAAUGAGGCGAACCGGGGGAACUGAAACAUCUAAGUACCCCGAGGAAAAGAAAUC
Molecule: ribosomal RNA, 225 nt
Filed under: Salmonella enterica
Lineage: Bacteria; Pseudomonadati; Pseudomonadota; Gammaproteobacteria; Enterobacterales; Enterobacteriaceae
Also listed under: 6 other names
Description: partial 23S ribosomal RNA
Rfam family: Bacterial large subunit ribosomal RNA
Source: RNAcentral